RNAcentral lists this transfer RNA (65 nucleotides) under Symsagittifera roscoffensis. RNAcentral describes it as "tRNA-Trp". It matches the Rfam family "tRNA". From Rfam's summary of the family: Transfer RNA (tRNA) molecules are approximately 80 nucleotides in length. Lineage: Eukaryota; Metazoa; Xenacoelomorpha; Acoela; Convolutidae. The record is from RNAcentral.
AAGAAUGUAGUUUAAAAAAACAAAUAAUUUCAAAUUAUUAAAUAUUACUUGCUUAAUCUUUCUUG